AUUGAACGCUGGCGGCGUGCCUAAUACAUGCAAGUCGAGCGCAGGAAGCUGACGGAACUCUUCGGAGGGAAGGCAGUGGAAUGAGCGGCGGACGGGUGAGUAACACGUAAGGAACCUGCCUCAAGGAUUGGGAUAACUCCGAGAAAUCGGAGCUAAUACCGGAUAGUUCAACGGACCGCAUGGUCCGCUGAUGAAAGGCGCUUCGGCGUCACCUUGAGAUGGCCUUGCGGUGCAUUAGCUAGUUGGUGGGGUAACGGCCCACCAAGGCGACGAUGCAUAGCCGACCUGAGAGGGUGAUCGGCCACACUGGGACUGAGACACGGCCCAGACUCCUGCGGGAGGCAGCAGUAGGGAAUCUUCCACAAUGGACGAAAGUCUGAUGGAGCAACGCCGCGUGAGUGAUGAAGGUUUUCGGAUCGUAAAACUCUGUUGUAAGGGAAGAACACGUACGAGAGGGAAUGCUCGUACCUUGACGGUACCUUACGUGAAAGCCACGGCUAACUACGUGCCAGCAGCCGCAGUAA
RNAcentral lists this ribosomal RNA (524 nucleotides) under uncultured bacterium. Its description in RNAcentral is "partial 16S ribosomal RNA". It matches the Rfam family "Bacterial small subunit ribosomal RNA", at positions 30 to 523 of the family's 1533-position model. The record is from RNAcentral.